AUUGAACGCUGGCGGCAGGCCUAACACAUGCAAGUCGAGCGGAUGAAGGGAGCUUGCUCCUGGAUUCAGCGGCGGACGGGUGAGUAAUGCCUAUGAAUCUGCCUGGUAGUGGGGGAUAACGUCCGGAAACGGGCGCUAAUACCGCAUACGUCCUGAGGGAGAAAGUGGGGGAUCUUCGGACCUCACGCUCUCAGAUGAGCCUAGGUCGGAUUAGCUAGUUGGUGGGGUAAAGGCCUACCAAGGCGACGAUCCGUAACUGGUCUGAGAGGAUGAUCAGUCACACUGGAACUGAGACACGGUCCAGACUCCUACGGGAGGCAGCAGUGGGGAAUAUUGGACAAUGGGCGAAAGCCUGAUCCAGCCAUGCCGCGUGUGUGAAGAAGGUCUUCGGAUUGUAAAGCACUUUAAGUUGGGAGGAAGGGCAGUAAGUUAAUACCUUGCUGUUUUGACGUUACCAACAGAAUAAGCACCGGCUAACUUCGUG
This 484-nucleotide ribosomal RNA is filed under the name uncultured bacterium. Its description in RNAcentral is "partial 16S ribosomal RNA". It matches the Rfam family "Bacterial small subunit ribosomal RNA", at positions 30 to 507 of the family's 1533-position model. The record is from RNAcentral.